Hydrogenibacillus schlegelii is the source of this 1614-nucleotide non-coding RNA. The record is from Rfam. NCBI's taxonomy places the organism in Bacteria, Bacillati, Bacillota, Bacilli, Thermicanales, Thermicanaceae.
GGAAGCGCGACCGGGAGGGCGCGUGGAGCGCAGGGAAGCGAGAAUGCCGGCGUGAGUAGCGAGAAGGUCGGUGAGAAUCCGACCCGCCGAAAGCCCAAGGGUUCCUGAGGAAGGCUCGUCCGCUCAGGGUAAGUCGGGACCUAAGGCGAGGCCGCGAGGCGUAGCUGAUGGGAAACGGGUGGAGAAUCCCGUACCGCUCCCGGCCGUUUGAGCGACGGGGGGACGCAGGGGGUCCGAAGGCGCGCGCGGGAUGGAAGAGCGCGUCCAAGCGGCGAGGGUGGUGCGCAGGCAAAUCCGCGCGCCGGAAGCCUGAGCCGUGACGGGGAGGGAAGACGAGUACCGAAGGCCUUCCGGAUCGCACUGCCGAGAAAAGCCUCUAGCGAGGCCUGGGAGCGCCCGUACCGGAAACCGACACAGGUGGGCGAGGAGAGGAUCCUCAGGCGCGCGAGCGAACUCCUGCUAAGGAACUCGGCAAAAUGGCCCCGUAACUUCGGGAGAAGGGGCGCCUGUCUUGGAAGGCAGGCCGCAGAGAAGUGGCCCAGGCGACUGUUUAGCAAAAACACAGGUCUCUGCGAAGCCGUAAGGCGACGUAUAGGGGCUGACGCCUGCCCGGUGCUGGAAGGUUAAGGGGAAGGGUUAGGGUNAGCGAAAUUCCUUGUCGGGUAAGUUCCGACCCGCACGAAAGGCGUAACGACCUGGGCGCUGUCUCGGCAGGAGGCUCGGUGAAAUCGUAGUCCCUGUGAAGAUGCAGGGUACCCGCGACUAGACGGAAAGACCCCGUGGAGCUUUACUGCAGCCUGAUAUUGUGGUUUGCCGCCUUCUGUACAGGAUAGGUGGGAGCCUGGGAAGCGUCCUCGUCAGGGGGCGCGGAGGCGGCGGUGGGAUACCACCCUGGAGGCGGCGGACGACUCACCCGCGGCCGUGAGCCGGUCGGGGGACCGUGUCAGGCGGGCAGUUUGACUGGGGCGGUCGCCUCCUAAAGGGUAACGGAGGCGCCCAAAGGUCCCCUCAGCGCGGAUGGAAAUCGCGCGGAGCGUGAAAAGGCGAGAAGGGGGCUUGACUGCGAGACCGACGGGUCGAGCAGGGACGAAAGUCGGGCUUAGUGAUCCGGUGGUACCGAGUGGAAGGGCCAUCGCUCAACGGAUAAAAGCUACCCCGGGGAUAACAGGCUGAUCUCCCCCAAGAGUCCACAUCGACGGGGAGGUUUGGCACCUCGAUGUCGGCUCAUCGCAUCCUGGGGCUGGAGCCGGUCCCAAGGGUUGGGCUGUUCGCCCAUUAAAGCGGUACGUGAGCUGGGUUCAGAACGUCGUGAGACAGUUCGGUCCCUAUCUGUCGCGGGCGGAGGAAAUUUGAGGGGAGUCGUCCCCAGUACGAGAGGACCGGGACGGACGCACCGCUGGUGUACCAGUUGUGCCGCCAGGCGCACCGCUGGGUAGCCAAGUGCGGACGGGAUAAGCGCUGAAAGCAUCUAAGCGCGAAGCCCACCCCAAGAUGAGAUUUCCCACCGGCUUGACCGGGUAAGACCCCUCGUAGACGACGAGGUCGAUCGGUCCGAGGUGGAAGCGCGGUAACGCGUGAAGCUGACGGAUCCGAAUCGGUCGAGGCUUUGCCCCC